This 233-nucleotide ribosomal RNA is filed under the name uncultured bacterium. RNAcentral's name for it is "partial 16S ribosomal RNA". It matches the Rfam family "Bacterial small subunit ribosomal RNA", at positions 118 to 347 of the family's 1533-position model. The record is from RNAcentral.
UGAGUAACCUGCCCUUAACUCUGGGAUAAGCCUGGGAAACGUGGGUCUAAUACCGGAUAUGACUCCUCAUCGCAUGGGUGGGGGUGGAAAGCUUUAUUGUGGUUUGGAUGGACUCGCGGCCUAUCAGCUAGUUGGUGAGGUAAUGGCUCACCAAGGCAAUGACGGGUAGCUGGUUUGAGAGGAUGGCCAGCCACAUUGGGACUGAGAUACGGCCCAGACUCCUACGGGAGCAG